CCCUUAGAUGUUCUGGGCAGCACGCGCGCUACAAUGGUCUUCGCAAACGGAUGCAUUCUCGAAGGAGAAUGCCAAUCUUGGAAUCUAUGCCUUGGUCGGGACAGUUGCUUGCAAUUUUUCGACUCGAACCAGGAAUUCCUUGUAAUCGUGAUUCAUCACAUCACAAUGAAUACGUCCCUGCCCUUUGUACACACCGCCCGUCGCCCCUACCGAUCGAAGAGUUAGGUGAAUUGUUUUGAUCGAUAAGAUUUGACUAUGGUCAACUCUCGUUGUGAAAUUCUGUGAAUCUGACUGUUUAGAGGAAGGAAAAGUCGUAACA
Molecule: ribosomal RNA, 319 nt
Filed under: uncultured eukaryote
Lineage: Eukaryota
Description: partial 18S ribosomal RNA
Rfam family: Eukaryotic small subunit ribosomal RNA
Source: RNAcentral